This 2899-nucleotide long non-coding RNA is filed under the name Homo sapiens (human). RNAcentral's name for it is "long intergenic non-protein coding RNA 1206". Lineage: Eukaryota; Metazoa; Chordata; Mammalia; Primates; Hominidae. The record is from RNAcentral.
UUUUUUUUUUUUUUUCUUAAAUGAAAAGUAUAAGGGAUUUUAACCUCAUAAAGAAUAAGGAAAAUCAAUUAUGGUGAAGAAACAUUUCAUUUCUUACCGUUUAAAUAUUUCCUUCCUAAAUUGAUGGUUGAUGUAAUGUAGGCUGUAAAAAGAGAGGAGGCAGUUCCUGAAAUACCUUGGGCUCUAAAACCCAUUUUGUGAAAUAGCAAUGUAAUUUGAAUAUUUUAGGAACUGACCUCAAUGCUUAGAGCUUCCUUUGUAUGUUCUUAAACGAUGCCUUAACAUCGCAUUUACUUAUAUGUUAACAUGAAAGUUAUAAGUUGUCUUAUUGUAACGUUGACUUGUCCCUUCAGAGAAUCAGCCUUCCAUUAUGCUCAAGUAUUCAUCAACCUUCAGGGCUGGGAUGGUAUAAAAUAAUGGCAUGAGAUAUACCUAAUGCUAGAUGACGAGUUAGUGGGUGCAGCGCACCAGCAUGGCACAUGUAUACAUAUGUAACUAACCUGCACAAUGUGCACAUGUACCCUAAAACUUAAAGUAUAAUUAAAAAAAAAAAAGAAAAAGAAAAUCUAAAAAAAAAAAAAUAAUAAUAAUAAUGGCAUGACCGGGCCAGGCAUAUAAGGAUUUCCCUCCUCUCCUCAUUUUUAUUUUUAUUAUUUUGGGUACACAGUAGGUAUAUAUAUAUAUGAGGUACAUGAGAUGUUUUGAUACAGACAUGCAAUAUGAAAUAAUCACAUCAUAGAUUUCUCUUCUCUGGAAGAACUUACAACCUGUUGAGGUUUGCUAGCAAACCAAACUCUAACAAAGAACACUGUUUAUUUUUUCUUUUCUUUUCUUGAGAUAGAUAUUUUUUAUUUUAAGUUCUGGGAUACAUGUGCAGAACGUGCAGGUUUGCUAUUUGCUGCACCUAUCAACCCAUCAUCUAGGUUUUAAGCCCUGUUUUGAUUUGAAUAUUAUUCAAUACAAAUGAAGAUUGAAAUGUGGACAUUUAUGCUAAGAACAGCUUCUGGAAUUAUAGAUUUGCCUUGUAUUCUUACCAAUUGUAAGACGGAUAAACAAGCAGAAAUUCAAAAUGACAUAAUUAUAUUUCUUUGCAUCUGGAUUUUAUUCUGUUCCUGGUUCAAGUUUCAAGAUUGUCAAGAAUGACGAGUUGGACUUGGUCUAGUUACUUCCACAGCAGCAGGAGGAACAUGUGUGUGACUCAGGAUAACUGGGGAAGCCUUGGCUAGGCUUUCCUCAUGUCAACCUACCACUCAAAGGGAGAAAACCUCCUGAUCAGAGGUGCCCAGAACCCAGGAAAUCCAUAAUUUUUGAAUGCUGGCCGAGGUCUGUGACCUCUGACUGAAUGGUUUCCAAGCUCCGAAUUCCUAGGUGAUGUUUUCAUUUGUUCACACUUGCUGAAGAAGGGAAAGGCUCUCUGAUUUACGUGUAAGCAAAACAAUCUAAACAGUAGGAUAAAAUCAUGUUGGAAUGGAGUUCUGUGUGGAUGCUCCUUUGAACCAAAUCAGUUCCACAACUGACCCUGUCAGGGACAUAUAAAUUUAGCAUUUUGGUGUGGAUACAGAAGACGAGAUUAACACAGAUCAAGUAACAUGGAAAUAAAAAAGGAGACAAUGCUGGAUGAUACAGGGGCAGCCAACAAGAGGAGAAAACCCAAGCAUUGGCAAAUGCCUCAUUAUCCAAAGAACACUGAGGUGUGGAGCAAAACUGUGUUGAAUGAACUGUAGAUGGAAAUUCUCUCCUUCCCACCGAGGAGCCGCUGCAGGUUGCAGACUCCCAGAAUGCCACACUGAGAAGAGGAGGGCUAAAAUUCUAGAGCAGAAUCCCUGGGGCAGCCCCUGCUGAAGAAGGGUGCAUCUGUUGAGAAUCUCAUCACCGCCCCCACCCCGCCCAGCCUUCAAUUUAGAGGAAUUUCUAGUUCACGCAGAAUGAAGACAAGAUCACAUAAGUGAGGACGACGCCCCAUUUACAAGUGUGAUUUGGAAGACUGAAGUGGAAACCUUGGGAAGGGGCCUCAGAGUAUGUCAGCUGGGGUCAGACGGGAACAGGAGUCUGGCUCAACACACAUUUAUUGCACUCCUGUUUCAUGCCAAGAAAUGUACCAAAAUCUGGGACUGUGUAACACAGCAAAGGAAAAGACUCAUCUCCAGGAAGCCCCCUUGUCUAGGAAGAGAAAUUGAAUAUCAGCAUAAGGUGGUGAAAAGCUGUGAAGGAGAUGAGUGCCAGGAGUCCAUGGAGGAAGGAUUCUAGCCUGGACAGGUGAGGAAUGGCUUUCUGGAAGAAGCAGAUGCCCCAGCUGAACUUUAAAAUGCCCAUGUGAAAUGAACUGUCUGUAUCUUCAAUCAGCAAAUGGAGUAGGUGGCCACUGUUUAAUUCUGGAAUGGGGAAGUGUAAAGGUGUGGUGUGUGUGUUUACCCCUACUUAGGGAUUCAAAACAGACAGUAAAGAACAAAAGUCUAGCCCUUUGAGCAUUCUCCAUGGGACAUUUGAGGUCUAGCUGGCCCCAGAGAAAGAGAGACAGAAGCAAGGUCAUAUCCAUUUGAGAAAAUCAAAGUGUCUGCUCCAAUUGAGUCUGGUGUCCUUAUUCCUGGAAUAGCCAUCCCUACUGCUCUGGUGCUGAUUUACCUCCGGCAGUUCAGUGCUUCCUGGAAGGUGAUUGUGGUGAAUAGUCAUGAGAAUCUGGGAACUGGCUCCUGCUCUGUCUAUCUUGGAGAUGCAUCUUUUGUGAGAAGCCAGGGCAAGAAUAGGGAGGCUUAGGCAAUGGGAAGUUUCUGAGUAGAUAAAGCAGAUGGCAGAGCAAAGGGACAGAGCCUGGCGAGAGGCUACUCCCUGUAGCAACCUGCCUAAGAGUGAGAGGAAAGCAAGGCAUGGCUAUGAGCACGUGUAGUCUCAGCUACUUGGG